UAACCUACCCUGUACACACGGAUAACAUACCGAAAGGUAUGCUAAUACGGGAUAAUAUAUUUGAGAGGCAUCUCUUAAAUAUCAAAGGUGAGCCAGUACAGGAUGGACCCGCGUCUGAUUAGUUAGUUGGUAAGGUAACGGCUUACCAAGGCGACGAUCAGUAGCCGACCUGAGAGGGUGAUCGGCCACAUUGGAACUGAGACACGGUCCAAACUCCUACGGGAGGCAGCAGUGGGGAAUAUUGCACAAUGGGCGAAAGCCUGAUGCAGCAACGCCGCGUGAGUGAUGAAGGCCUUCGGGUCGUAAAACUCUGUCCUCAAGGAAGAUAAUGACGGUACUUGAGGAGGAAGCCCCGGCUAACUACGUGCCAGCAGCCGCGGUAAUACGUAGGGGGCUAGCGUUAUCCGGAUUUACUGGGCGUAAAGGGUGCGUAGGCGGUCUUUCAAGUCAGGAGUGAAAGGCUACGGCUCAAUCGUAGUAAGCUCUUGAAACUGGGAGACUUGAGUGCAGGAGAGGAGAGUGGAAUUCCUAGUGUAGCGGUGAAAUGCGUAGAUAUUAGGAGGAACACCAGUUGCGAAGGCGGCUCUCUGGACUG
Molecule: ribosomal RNA, 595 nt
Filed under: Clostridioides difficile
Lineage: Bacteria; Bacillati; Bacillota; Clostridia; Peptostreptococcales; Peptostreptococcaceae
Description: bacterial SSU rRNA
Rfam family: Bacterial small subunit ribosomal RNA
Source: RNAcentral